CCUACGGGGAGCAGCAGUGAGGAAUAUUGGUCAAUGGCCGGAAGGCUGAACCAGCCAUGCCGCGUGAAGGUCAGUGCCCUAUGGGCGUUAAACUUCUUUUGUGCGGGAGCAAUAAUGGUCACGUGUGGCCAGACGAGAGUACCGUACGAAUAAGCAUCGGCUAACUCCGUACCAGCAGCCGCGGUAAUACGGGGGAUGCAAGCGUUAUCCGGAUUUAUUGGGUUUAAAGGGUGCGUAGGCUGUGAGGUAAGUCAGCGGUGAAAUGCCCCCGCUCAACGGGGUGAAGUGCCAUUGAUACUGCCUGGCUGGAAUGCGGAUGCCGUGGGAGGAAUGUGUGGUGUAGCGGUGAAAUGCAUAGAUAUCACACAGAACACCGAUUGCGAAGGCAUCUCACGAAUCCGCGAUUGACGCUGAUGCACGAAAGCGUGGGUAUCAAACAGGAUUAGAUACCCGGGUAGUC
This 460-nucleotide ribosomal RNA is filed under the name uncultured bacterium. RNAcentral describes it as "partial 16S ribosomal RNA". It matches the Rfam family "Bacterial small subunit ribosomal RNA", at positions 338 to 795 of the family's 1533-position model. The record is from RNAcentral.